GGGCUCCUCCCCUCUCCUCCUAGCUGUGAGCCGCUCUGAGCGAUUGCGAAGGACGAAGAUGAGCCUCAAGCUGUCACUUGCUGCCUGGAGUUCGUUCGGAAAGUUGGAAAAGCCUAGUUCUAAUUAGGAAAUCUAUCCAGCUGUGUAUUUACUUUUGUUUUUAGGGUCUGAAGCUCAGGAAGGCUUAAGGAAACAAGAUCACACAGCUGACUGGAUUUCUCUGUAUAGCCCUGGCUAUCCUGGAACUCACUAUAUAGACCAGAGAUCUGCUUGCUACUGCUUCCCAAGUGCUUGGGUUAAAGAUGAAGAUGUAGAACUCUCAGCUCCUCCUGCACCAUGCCUGCCUGGAUGCUGCCAUGUUCUCUUCUUGAUGAUAAUGGAGUGAACCUCUGAAUAGGCACUAGGUGGUUGGAAAAGAUACCAACUUUUGUAGAAGGACCUUCGAGAGCUGUUCCAGUUAACAGAGAUGAAAGGAUGGAUCUAUUCAGCGUUGUGGAGGUCCUAACAGAUCGGUAGAUGGACUUCUGACAGCAACAACAAUUAGGCCUUCUCCACGACCUAAAUGAAUGUUGGACAUUGAAUGACACCACAACAUUGCAGAUAACAAAGCUCAGGCUAAGGGAGUGUUUUGGGGAAACAACCUCUUUACUUCAGUAAAGAAUGGAAGAAGAGGGGGGAUUCUGUAGACUAAAACAACCUGAACACUUAGCACCAUCAGCUCACUGACAGCUUUAGCUAUCAGGAUUCUAUCCAAAUAAGCCAUGAGAUAACGGGGGAUUAGAACAUGAUCAGACAUAUCUUCAUAUCAGGAAUCGCUUAAUUUUAGCUGUUAUAAAUGGCCUGGAGAGAUCAUCCAGUGGGGAAGAGCACUUGCUGCUCUUGAAGAGGAUCAGGGUUCAGCACAUACACAGUGGAUUACAGCUGGCUGUACCUCCAAUUUCAGGAAAUCAAACAUCAUGCUCACUUCAUGUAGUGCACAUACAUACCACAUAGACAAAACAUUCAUACCCAUAAAAUUAAAAUACAGAACUAAAAAUAAAAUGCUACUGAACUUUUCACGUACUCCAGUGAAGAACAAUGCCCUUCUUAAGAGAGCGGUAGCAUCCGAGUUACAGUCUGGACAGUUCUCCCUUUUACAAGGUGGAAUAAGUCAGACAGAGUCAUUCAGAAAUCCACACACAAAUAUCCUAAGCUUGAAUAAUAACAACAACAAAAAGUUCUGUUGAAGAUAAAUAAUGAGAGGCCUGCCUUCAACUGAAAGCCGCAGUGAUAAAAAUCACAGUAAUGCAAUCAACAUGGUAUCGGCAUCAGGACAGACAAAUCAGUGGAGCCGAACACUGAAUCCAAAAAUAGAUUUCAGCAUAUAUCAUAAUUUAAUAUGUGACAAAGGCAGUAUUUCAAUUCUGUGGGAAAGAAUGGUUUAUUCAAUAACCAGUGCCGGUGUAACUGGCUAUUCAUCUAGAACAAAAUGAACUUGGGUCUCAAUUUCACAAGUCUAAAAACAGAUUCUAAAUGGAUUAAAAACUUAAGUGUAAGCCAUAAGCCUUAGAGAAACAUUCAGGUAGCUACACGCAGACGUGGGUGACAGAGAACACGUUCCAAAAACUAAAACCAGGAACUCGGGAAAUGGGAAAUGGGUGGUAACAAAACUCAAAACCUCUAAAUGGCCAGAGAUGCCAAGACCGUCAUGUCAAAACUUGUUUAGUAAAGCACGUGAAACACAGAUAACACAUGAGGGGUAAAUAUUUCUCACAAGCAGCAAAUACAUAGAAGUCGAUAAAGGAAAGAUAAAACAUUCCAAGUAACUAAAAAACAUGUUAAAAGUUUUUAAGCUCACCAGCAUUUUGGGUUUUGCAGUUAGGAUAAUAAUAUCUAGCCAGAUGUGGCAGCAUAUGCCUAUAAUCCCACACUCAGAAGGUAGAGGCAGGAGAAACAAGGAUAGCCUUAACCACAUAGUGAAUUUGAGGUCAUCCUGGACUUCCUGAGACCCUGCCUAAAAACACCAAAUAAAAUUACUCCACUAGUUACGAGGCAUUAUGUUACACCCAUGAGAUUCAAAACAUUCAAAAGACUAAUACUGUUGCAGUGUUUGUGAAACUGAACUGUUGCUGUAGUCCUAAAAAAUCUGUUAAAAAAUCUGCACAACCUUUGACCUAGUGAUUCAACCCCGAGGCAGGUGGAAAUAAUUAACAACAAGCCAAUAUGGAAGGCUUUAUGCAAAAUUGUAGUAGCAAAAAAUUAGAAGCAAAGUAAACGCAUAACCGUGAAGGAACAGUUUAAUAAUUUUUUUUGCUACAUUUGCAAACGUGCUGAAUGGUGUCUCUGCUUCAUAAAAUAGUAGGCUUUGACUUCCAAGGUAGAAGGGAACUUUUAGUGAAUUAGGAUUCUCACAAGGGUGGCGUGAGAAGGGCAAGCCACUGGAGUCUUACGGCUCCUAGAGGCAGACUGAUGUACAUGGUAAGUUGUGUGUGUGUGUGUGUGUGUGUGUGUGUGUGUGUGUGUGUGUGUGUAUGUGUGUGGUGUAUGUGUGUGUUUAUGUUUGUAAACAGACUUCCAUCUGUUUAGGAUUGCAUGAGCUUAAGGACAUGGUAAGGCACAGACAUGGGGUUAACAGUGGGGCUCUGCCACUCUGGAGUACAAUUUGGGUAGAUGCUGAAAGGAGGAAGGUGAAAGAAGACACAGGUCUAAAGUUUUCUAAGAACUUCAUUCAGAUUAAAAAAGAAAAAAACAUCUAGUGUGAGUCAGGGAGUUGAGGCUGGUUCAUGCCUUUAAUCCCAGCAUUCAGGAGGCAUUGGAAGGUUGAUCUUGAGGUCACCCUGGUCUACAGAAGGAGUUCCAGGACAGUCAGGGCUAUUCGGUGAAACCUGUCUCACAAAAACAAAACAACAAAACCUACUGUGAUAUGCUAUUAAUAUGUCUGCAUCUUAAUGUGUUUAUUUGCCUUUCUUGUUUCUGGGACCAAAGACCGGACAAGAAGCAACUGAGGAGGGAAGGACGUUUUGACUUGCACAGUUGGGGGAGGAGGGCACUCUGGCAGGGAAGCCAUGGGAGAAGCAGAUUUCAGUUGUGAUGACAGGAUCUCUUGAACCUGCUAGCUCACAUCUACUCGUAACACAAAGCAGAGAGGAGACAGGACGUAAGUAGAUGCUAAACUUCAACUCCACCAGACAGCUCCCAGAGGGCUGUUUCCUCCAGAUAGGUCCUACUUCUCAAAUGGUCCACAACUCCCACAAAUAGUACUACUAGUUGGGGACCAAAUAUUCAAACACCUGUUCCUAUGGGAGAGACUUUGCAUCCAGACCACAAUCAUAUAUGUUUAAGCAUUGUAUGUGUGUGCAUGUAUGCAUAUAUACGUAUAUUGCAUAGACAUAGAAUAAUAUACACUACAUUGGCAGAACAAGAUGGAAUUAAUUAUACCCAAGUAUUUGAGAAUGUGAUUGAUAAACUAUUAACAUUUUAAAAAUGGUAACAUGUGAUAAGACUGUGUUUUGACACAGUGGACAUAUGAGAGAAGGCCUACAGAGCUGAGUUAUAUAAAAGCUUGUGAUUCUACUGAGCCAUGCAAAUGAUAGGAAAGGACAAAUGCCAUGUUGUUAAUGUGGUACCCCUAAGGGAGUGGGGAUGGAUGCAACAAUGGACUGUUUCUUUUACACAUAACUGUGCUGUUUUACUUGUUCAAUCGGUCUGAAUGUUUUGUAAUUUGAAAUAAUAAAAUAAUUAAAAAUAUAGUCUUUCACCUAAGGA
Long non-coding RNA from Rattus norvegicus (Norway rat), 3744 nucleotides. RefSeq lists it as uncharacterized. The record is from RefSeq and is a predicted model, not a curated record. NCBI's taxonomy places the organism in Eukaryota, Metazoa, Chordata, Mammalia, Rodentia, Muridae.